RNAcentral lists this long non-coding RNA (203 nucleotides) under Olea europaea (common olive). RNAcentral describes it as "long non-coding RNA (OEUR_LNC008609)". Lineage: Eukaryota; Viridiplantae; Streptophyta; Magnoliopsida; Lamiales; Oleaceae. The record is from RNAcentral.
AUAUAAAUGCCCAAAACCACCCAAAAUGAAGGGAGACGCCCCCAGACCUAUUUCUUUCAUCUUGGUGCUCAAGAAACUCCAUGGAAAACUAAGGAACUCGGUGAAGCAACGAAGGAACUCAUUGGAUUUGGAGAUUUCACGUCAUAAUUUCAUGUAAUUCGAACUCUCUUUGCUUAAUAAUUUCUAGAUUUGGAUUUUCUCGU